Molecule: non-coding RNA, 50 nt
Filed under: uncultured Alloprevotella sp.
Lineage: Bacteria; Pseudomonadati; Bacteroidota; Bacteroidia; Bacteroidales; Prevotellaceae
Source: RNAcentral
GACGAGGAUAGAUUUGGCUGCUUGCAACCUCAUAAAAACAAUGCUAAAAC